AUAGGUAACAGUGGUAUCUCAUCACGGUUUAAAUUUAGAUCUGUUUUUCUUAAUGUUUAGUGAAAUUUAGUACCUUUUCAGAAGCGUAAUGGCCAUUUAGACAUUUCCAUUUGUGAAAUGUUGGAUUCAGUUAAGUCUUUUACCCUGUUAUAAAAGUUGGGUUGGUUUUUCCUAAUUCUCACUUUGUAGCCCUGGCUGUCCUGGAACACACUAUGUAGAAGAGUCUGUCCUGGAACACACUAUGUAGAAGAGUCUGUCCUGGAACACACAAUGUAGAAGAGUCUGUCCUGGAACACACAAUGUAGAAGAGUCUGUCCUGGAACACACUAUGUAGAAGAGUCUGUCCUGGAACACACUAUGUAGAAGAGUCUGUCCUGGAACACACUAUGUAGAAGAGUCUGUCCUGGACCUUGAGUGCUGGGAGUAAAGUUUCCUUAUUCUUCUGGGGCCUGAGACAACAAACUCAGAAGCCAUUGGAUUCAGUUGGCACCACCCUAGCUCCUCAGAGUUUAAACCUACCAAAAGAAAUCAGCCUUCUUCAAAGAAAUGGUUGGUUCCGGAUCUAAGACAGGGAAAUUAUAAGAUGAGCCUAAAAUAUCUUAAAGUGUUCAAAGAAUUAUAUCUAUUCUAUCAAAGGAGCAUAGAAACAAGCUGGAAGGAGCUCCCAUUGGCUAAAUCUGGGACAAUUUGAACAUGGAAAUAAAGAUAGUAACAGGGUAUAACACACUGCCUAAAACAGGGACCCAUAAAUGCAAUGACAUAAAUAAAUUAAUUAAUUCAAACAUAUUGCGAGGAAUGGAAUAUAGUCUCAAAGGGGGAAAACGAUUAAAAAAAAUCUUUACAACUGAGAAGCUAGCAGAAACCACCUUCAUCAAAUAAUAAGGUUAAAAUCAUCAGGCGAGAGACACAGAACUAAAUGCAAUGUGGAUUUCAUAUUGGUUUCCCAGGUGUGGGGAGGGGUAUUUCUGGCAUGACAGGUGAAAUUGGAAAAACAUAAAAAUACUUUGUAAGUUACUGAGAAGUAACAUAUCAACAUUAAUCUCCUUUGAAA
Long non-coding RNA from Mus musculus (house mouse), 1051 nucleotides. RefSeq annotates it as predicted gene, 53563. NCBI's taxonomy places the organism in Eukaryota, Metazoa, Chordata, Mammalia, Rodentia, Muridae. The transcript has 3 exons. The record is from RefSeq and is a predicted model, not a curated record.